GGGUAGGGGAGCGUUCUGUAAGCCUGCGAAGGUGUGCUGUGAGGCAUGCUGGAGGUAUCAGAAGUGCGAAUGCUGACAUAAGUAACGAUAAAGCGGGUGAAAAGCCCGCUCGCCGGAAGACCAAGGGUUCCUGUCCAACGUUAAUCAGGGCAGGGUGAGUCGACCCCUAAGGCGAGGCCGAAAGGCGUAGUCGAUGGGAAACAGGUUAAUAUUCCUGUACUUGGUGUUACUGCGAAGGGGGGACGGAGAAGGCUAUGUUGGCCGGGCGACGGUUGUCCCGGUUUAAGCGUGUAGGCUGGUUUUCCAGGCAAAUCCGGAAAAUCAAGGCUGAGGCGUGAUGACGAGGCACUACGGUGCUGAAGCAACAAAUGCCCUGCUUCCAGGAAAAGCCUCUAAGCAUCAGGUAACAUCAAAUCGUACCCCAAACCGACACAGGUGGUCAGGUAGAGAAUACCAAGGCGCUUGAGAGAACUCGGGUGAAGGAACUAGGCAAAAUGGUGCCGUAACUUCGGGAGAAGGCACGCUGAUAUGUAGGUGAAGUCCCUUGCGGAUGGAGCUGAAAUCAGUCGAAGAUACCAGCUGGCUGCAACUGUUUAUUAAAAACACAGCACUGUGCAAACACGAAAGUGGACGUAUACGGUGUGACGCCUGCCCGGUGCCGGAAGGUUAAUUGAUGGGGUCAGCGCAAGCGAAGCUCUUGAUCGAAGCCCCGGUAAACGGCGGCCGUAACUAUAACGGUCCUAAGGUAGCGAAAUUCCUUGUCGGGUAAGUUCCGACCUGCACGAAUGGCGUAAUGAUGGCCAGGCUGUCUCCACCCGAGACUCAGUGAAAUUGAACUCGCUGUGAAGAUGCAGUGUACCCGCGGCAAGACGGAAAGACCCCGUGAACCUUUACUAUAGCUUGACACUGAACAUUGAGCCUUGAUGUGUAGGAUAGGUGGGAGGCUUUGAAGUGUGGACGCCAGUCUGCAUGGAGCCGGCCUUGAAAUACCACCCUUUAAUGUUUGAUGUUCUAACGUGGACCCGUGAUCCGGGUUGCGGACAGUGUCUGGUGGGUAGUUUGACUGGGGCGGUCUCCUCCUAAAGAGUAACGGAGGAGCACGAAGGUUGGCUAAUCCUGGUCGGACAUCAGGAGGUUAGUGCAAUGGCAUAAGCCAGCUUGACUGCGAGCGUGACGGCGCGAGCAGGUGCGAAAGCAGGUCAUAGUGAUCCGGUGGUUCUGAAUGGAAGGGCCAUCGCUCAACGGAUAAAAGGUACUCCGGGGAUAACAGGCUGAUACCGCCCAAGAGUUCAUAUCGACGGCGGUGUUUGGCACCUCGAUGUCGGCUCAUCACAUCCUGGGGCUGAAGUAGGUCCCAAGGGUAUGGCUGUUCGCCAUUUAAAGUGGUACGCGAGCUGGGUUUAGAACGUCGUGAGACAGUUCGGUCCCUAUCUGCCGUGGGCGCUGGAGAACUGAGGGGGGCUGCUCCUAGUACGAGAGGACCGGAGUGGACGCAUCACUGGUGUUCGGGUUGUCAUGCCAAUGGCACUGCCCGGUAGCUAAAUGCGGAAGAGAUAAGUGCUGAAAGCAUCUAAGCACGAAACUUGCCCCGAGAUGAGUUCUCCCUGACCCUUUAAGGGUCCUGAAGGAACGUUGAAGACGACGACGUUGAUAGGCCGGGUGUGUAAGCGCAGCGAUGCGUUGAGCUAACCGGUACUAAUGAACCGUGAGGCUUAACCUUACAACGCCGAAG
RNAcentral lists this ribosomal RNA (1732 nucleotides) under Shigella sonnei. RNAcentral describes it as "partial 23S ribosomal RNA". It matches the Rfam family "Bacterial large subunit ribosomal RNA", at positions 1226 to 2925 of the family's 2925-position model. The record is from RNAcentral. Lineage: Bacteria; Pseudomonadati; Pseudomonadota; Gammaproteobacteria; Enterobacterales; Enterobacteriaceae.